GAUGAACGCUGGCGGCGUGCCUAAUACAUGCAAGUCGAGCGAACAGACGAGGAGCUUGCUCCUCUGACGUUAGCGGCGGACGGGUGAGUAACACGUGGAUAACCUACCUAUCAGACUGGUAUAACUUCGGGAAACCGGAGCUAAUACCGGAUAAUAUAUUGAACCGCAUGGUUCAAUAGUGAAAGACGGUUUUGCUGUCACUUAUCGAUGGAUCCGCGCCGCAUUAGCUAGUUGGUAAGGUAACGGCUUACCAAGGCGACGAUGCGUAGCCGACCUGUGAGGGUGAUCGGCCACACUGGAACUGAGACACGGUCCAGACUCCUACGGGAGGCAGCAGUAGGGAAUCUUCCGCAAUGGGCGAAAGCCUGACGGAGCAACGCCGCGUGAGUGAUGAAGGUCUUCGGAUCGUAAAACUCUGUUAUUAGGGAAGAACAAAUGUGUAAGUAACUAUGCACGUCUUGACGGUACCUAAUCAGAAAGCCACGGCUAACUACGUG
Molecule: ribosomal RNA, 497 nt
Filed under: uncultured bacterium
Lineage: Bacteria
Description: partial 16S ribosomal RNA
Rfam family: Bacterial small subunit ribosomal RNA
Source: RNAcentral